RNAcentral lists this ribosomal RNA (449 nucleotides) under uncultured bacterium. RNAcentral's name for it is "SSU rRNA". It matches the Rfam family "Bacterial small subunit ribosomal RNA", at positions 26 to 518 of the family's 1533-position model. The record is from RNAcentral.
AGAGCGAACGCUGGCGGCAGGCUUAACACAUGCAAGUCGAGCGGGCGUAGCAAUACGUCAGCGGCAGACGGGUGAGUAACGCGUGGGAACGUACCUUUUGGUUCGGAACAACCCAGGGAAACUUGGGCUAAUACCGGAUAAGCCCUUACGGGGAAAGAUUUAUCGCCGAAAGAUCGGCCCGCGUCUGAUUAGCUAGUUGGUGAGGUAAUGGCUCACCAAGGCGACGAUCAGUAGCUGGUCUGAGAGGAUGAUCAGCCACAUUGGGACUGAGACACGGCCCAAACUCCUACGGGAGGCAGCAGUGGGGAAUAUUGGACAAUGGGCGCAAGCCUGAUCCAGCCAUGCCGCGUGAGUGAUGAAGGCCCUAGGGUUGUAAAGCUUCUUUUGUGCGGGAAGAUAAUGACGGUACCGCAAGAAUAACGCCCGGCUAACUUCGUGCCAGCAGCCGC